UCUUUCGCAAUGGGCGCAAGCCUGACGAAGCGACGCCGUGUGAGCGAAGAAGGCCUUCGGGUUGUAAAGCUCUUUCGCUAGGGAACAAGAGAUAUGGGAUAACACCCCAUUGAUUUGAUGGUACUUGGUAAAGAAGCACCGGCUAACUCCGUGCCAGCAGCUGCGGUAAUACGGAGGGUGCAAGCAUUGAUCGGAAUUACUGGGCGUAAAGGGCGCGUAGGCGGCAAUGAAAGUCAGAUGUGAAAUUCCGGGGCUCAACCCCGGAGCUGCAUUUGAAACUUCAAGGCUAGAGUUCAGUUAGGGUAAACGGAAUUCCACGUGUAGCGGUGAAAUGCGUAGAUAUGUGGAAGAACACCGGUGGUGAAGACGGUUUACUGGGCUGAGACUGACGCUAGCGCGAA
Molecule: ribosomal RNA, 401 nt
Filed under: uncultured bacterium
Lineage: Bacteria
Description: bacterial SSU rRNA
Rfam family: Bacterial small subunit ribosomal RNA
Source: RNAcentral